CUAAGUGGCGGACGGGUGAGUAAUGUAUAGUUAAUCUGCCCUUUAGAGGGGGAUAACAGUUGGAAACGACGGCUAAUACCCCAUACUCCUUUUAUCUUAAUGAUAAUUGGGAAACGUUUUUUCGCUAAAGGAUGAAACUAUAUGGUAUCAGGUAGUUGGUAGGGUAAGAGCCUACCAAGCCAAUGACGCCUAGCUGGUCUGAGAGGAUGAUCAGCCACACUGGAACUGAGACACGGUCCAG
RNAcentral lists this ribosomal RNA (241 nucleotides) under uncultured bacterium. Its description in RNAcentral is "partial 16S ribosomal RNA". It matches the Rfam family "Bacterial small subunit ribosomal RNA", at positions 91 to 334 of the family's 1533-position model. The record is from RNAcentral.